RNAcentral lists this ribosomal RNA (433 nucleotides) under uncultured bacterium. Its description in RNAcentral is "partial 16S ribosomal RNA". It matches the Rfam family "Bacterial small subunit ribosomal RNA", at positions 29 to 507 of the family's 1533-position model. The record is from RNAcentral.
AACGAACGCUGGCGGCAUGCCUAACACGUGCAAGUCGAACGAGACCUUCGUGUCUAGUGGCGCACGGGUGCGUAACGCGUGGGAACCUGCCCUUAGGUUCGGAAUAACUCCCCGACAGGGGUGCUAAUACCGGAUAAUUUCUUCGGACCAAAGAUUUAUCGACUUUGGAUGGGCCCGCGUUGGUUUAGCCUGUUGGUAGUGUAAAAGCCUACCAAGGCGUCGAUCCAUAGCUGGUCAGAGAGGAUGAUCAGCCACACUGGGACUGAGACACGGCCGAGACUCCUACGGGAGGCAGCAGUGGGGAAUAUUGGACAAUGGGGGAAAGCCUGAUGCAGCUAUGCCGCGUGAGUGAUGAAGGCCUUAGGGUUGUAAAGCUCUUUUACCCGGGAUGAUAAUGACAGUACCGGGAGAAUAAGCUCCGGCUAACUCCGUG